GUACACGCUGUGACUAGCAUAUCAAUAAGCGGAGGAAAAGAAACUAACAAGGAUUCCCCUAGUAACGGCGAGUGAAGCGGGAAGAGCUCAAAUUUGAAAUCUUAAAGGGUUUCCCUUUACGAAUUGUAGUUUAAAGAAGUGUUUUCUGUUGAGGUUUUGGUAAAAGUUCUUUGGAAUAGGACAUCAUAGAGGGUGAGAAUCCCGUAUUUGACCUUUACUUUCAACUUUGUGAUACACUUUCAAAGAGUCGGAUUGUUUGGGAAUGCAGUCCAAAAUGGGUGGUAAAUUUCAUCUAAAGCUAAAUAUUGGCGAGAGACCGAUAGCGAACAAGUACCGUGAGGGAAAGAUGAAAAGAACUUUGAAAAGAGAGUUAAACAGUACGUGAAAUUGUCAAAAGGGAAGCGUUUGACACCAGUGUUGUUUUUCUGAAAAUCAAUUAAAGAACUGUUUAUGCUAAGUUGUUUAGACUUUAUCAGCUAACUGUUUAGUUUUGAGCUUUUCUUUAAUGCACUUUUCAGUUAACAAGUCAACAUCAAUUUCUUUUGCUGUAAAAAAGCUUGAGGAAGGUGGCUUGAGAUUCGUCUUAAGUGUUUAUAGCCUCUUGCCUAUGCAGUCGGAGAGAUUGAGGUCUGCAGCGUAGAUCCUUCGGGGCUAAAUGCAUUUGUGCUAAGUUAUAGCAUUUUAUAGACAACUUGUUGACUAUGAUUUGUCUUGUAGCUUACUCGCUUAUGUUAUUUUACCUACGCUUAGGAUGUUGAGUCGUAGAGCACGCAG
This 774-nucleotide ribosomal RNA is filed under the name uncultured Neocallimastigales. RNAcentral describes it as "partial large subunit ribosomal RNA". It matches the Rfam family "Eukaryotic large subunit ribosomal RNA", at positions 22 to 628 of the family's 3401-position model. The record is from RNAcentral. Lineage: Eukaryota; Fungi; Neocallimastigomycota; Neocallimastigomycetes; Neocallimastigales.